CGUGACACAGGUGCUGCUGGCUGUCGUCACCUCGUGUCGUGAGAUGUUGGGUUAAGUCCCGCAACGAGCGCAACCCUUGUCCUUAGUUGCCACCACUUAAUGGUGGGAACUCUAAAGAGACCGCCGGAGACAACCCGGAAGAAGGGGGGGAUGACCUCAAGUCCUCAUGGCCUUUACGGCCAGGGCUACACACGUACUACAAUGGUGGGCACAGAGGGUUGCAAUCCCGCGGGGGGGACCCAAUCCCAAAAACCCCAUCCCAUUCCAGAUUGGACUCUGCAACUCCACUCCGUAAACUCAAAAUCUCUUAAAAUCGCAAAUCAACAUUGCUGCGG
RNAcentral lists this ribosomal RNA (335 nucleotides) under uncultured bacterium. Its description in RNAcentral is "partial 16S ribosomal RNA". It matches the Rfam family "Bacterial small subunit ribosomal RNA", at positions 1028 to 1362 of the family's 1533-position model. The record is from RNAcentral.